GCCGAGGUGGCGAAAUGGUAGACGCAAAGGACUUAAAAUCCUUCGAGCAACUUGCUCGUGCCGGUUCAAGUCCGGCUCUCGGCA
RNAcentral lists this transfer RNA (84 nucleotides) under Candidatus Babela massiliensis. RNAcentral describes it as "delta proteobacterium BABL1 tRNA". It matches the Rfam family "tRNA". Rfam says of the family: Transfer RNA (tRNA) molecules are approximately 80 nucleotides in length. The record is from Rfam by way of RNAcentral. Lineage: Bacteria; Candidatus Babeliae; Candidatus Babeliales; Candidatus Babeliaceae.